CCUGCUAUGCGACUAGCAGUAGCCUAGGGAGACGUGCGUCACUGGUAACGGUGGGGUGCGAAGCUCUCCUGACAAUGUAUCCCCCGACGUCUGGGUAUUAGUGAGCCGCGAGGCUGACUGGUAGAGACUCCGAGCAGCAAUGGGGUUGAGGGG
This is a non-coding RNA of Cupriavidus sp., 153 nucleotides long. The record is from Rfam. NCBI's taxonomy places the organism in Bacteria, Pseudomonadati, Pseudomonadota, Betaproteobacteria, Burkholderiales, Burkholderiaceae.